GUGUCAGCCGCCGCGGUAAAACGUAGGUUCCGAGCGUUAUCCGGAUUUACUGGGCGUAAAGCGUGUUCAGGCGGCUGGACAAGUCGGGCAUGAAAUCUCUCGGCUCAACCGGGAGAGGCUGUCCGAAACUGUUCGGCUGGAGGGCAGUAGAGGGUGGUGGAAUUCCGGGUGUAGUGGUGAAAUGCGUAGAUAUCCGGAGGAACACCAGUGGCGAAAGCGGCCACCUGGACUGUACCUGACGCUCAAACACGAAAGCUAGGGGAGCGAACGGGAUUAGAUACCCCCGUAGUCC
Molecule: ribosomal RNA, 292 nt
Filed under: uncultured bacterium
Lineage: Bacteria
Description: partial 16S ribosomal RNA
Rfam family: Bacterial small subunit ribosomal RNA
Source: RNAcentral